RNAcentral lists this ribosomal RNA (301 nucleotides) under uncultured bacterium. RNAcentral's name for it is "partial 16S ribosomal RNA". It matches the Rfam family "Bacterial small subunit ribosomal RNA", at positions 509 to 807 of the family's 1533-position model. The record is from RNAcentral.
CAGUCGCCGCGGUAGUACAGAGGUCUCAAGCGUUGUUCGGAUUCAUUGGGCGUAAAGGGAGCGUAGGCGGUCGGGUAAGUUGGAUGUGAAAUCCUGGGGCUCAACCUCAGAACUGCAUUCAAUACUGCUUGGCUAGAGUACUGGAGAGGUGAGUGGAAUUCACGGUGUAGCAGUGAAAUGCGUAGAUAUCGUGAGGAAGACCAGCGGCGAAGGCGGCUCACUGGACAGUUACUGACGCUGAUGCUCGAAGGCCAGGGGAGCAAACGGGAUUAGAUACCCCGGUAGUCCCUGUCUCUUAUAC